GUGCUCGCUUUGGCAGCACAUAUAUUAAAAUUGGAACAAUACAGAUAAGAUUAGCAUGGCCCCUGCGCAAUGAUGACACGCAAAUCCGUGAAGUGUUCCAUAUUUUU
This 107-nucleotide small nuclear RNA is filed under the name Podarcis muralis (Common wall lizard). Lineage: Eukaryota; Metazoa; Chordata; Lepidosauria; Squamata; Lacertidae. The record is from RNAcentral.